CAGUAUUUGGAGUGCAGGGAUGAGCCUGGAGUUGGAGGAUGUGUAAGGCUCUCUCUUUUACCAAUAAUACAAACUGGGAGAUCCACCUAAUGUUGUCUCUUAAGUCAUCAAACAACAGAUGUUUGAAGCUGGCACCUACUUGCAGUCAUACAGUGAAGUAUCUGUACAAUUCAUGGCCUUUUUCCUUCAUCUAGAUCUAAUCAGAAGUGUCACAUCAUCAUCGUAUUCAAAAAAGAUGUUUCAGAUGCUUAUUCAAACAAGAUUUGUAGUUCAGCCCAUGCCUCUCUCUAAAGGAAAAAUAAGCCUCCCAAACAGAAACUCAACAUUCUGCUAUUCCAAGAGUAGUAAAAUUGUGUCUUCACGAUGGCAAUGAAUCUAUUUUCUUCUAGUAUUCUGGGUCAUUUUAGAAAGCUCUUCCUGAAAUCUGUGUUUCUGUAAGGAUUCUCUGUCAGCAGACAAGGACAAUGAUGUUGAAAUCUGCUGGGACUGGCUGCAGUUACAUCUUAGAUGUGUCUGUGGAAAAACUGGCUCUCUAACUUCACGGGAUGUGGCUGUCGAAGGCUUGAGCAUUGAUUCUCUGAAGAAUUUGUUUGGAUCUGGAGCAGCUCUGCAGCUUCCUGCUGCAUGGGGACUUUGCUCUUCAGCAUAGAAGAGCCUGGCUUUUUUCCAGAUCUUCAGGCACAGAUCAUUGAAAUGAUCACAGUACUGAAGAUGAAGGCUUUCCUAGUCAUCACUGAUUCUACCAGAGCCAUCUGUGAUAAGCAAAUUGAACACUGGCUUGUUUCUCCCAGAAAGUGGGAGGAGGGAUUGCAGAUGAGCAUUUAGGGAAAAGUCCAUAGUUUAAAAGCUGGAUUUCUGAAAUGAAAGCUACUACAAGCCUCUGCUCCCAGGAAAAUCACUCUUUAUUAGAAAUCAGCACACUUAACUGGCAUUCAAUUAAGGCAACAUGAAUACAAAUGAUUUACUUGUAACCCCUUGGAGGGAAGGAGUGGGUGUUUCUAUAGGUGGUAAAAUCCUUUUCUCCACUUUCUGAGUAUACUGGUUUUAUUUUAAUAAUAGACACUUUCUCACCCUUUUUAAUAUCUGCAUUGUGAUUUAUUAUAAAUAAAAAAAAUGAUCUAAUUAUAUUAAAAUUAGAAAAUGCUUUGGUUGUAUUUUAAAUGAGUACAAGAUUAAAGAAUAUGUG
Melopsittacus undulatus (budgerigar) is the source of this 1186-nucleotide long non-coding RNA. The record is from Ensembl. NCBI's taxonomy places the organism in Eukaryota, Metazoa, Chordata, Aves, Psittaciformes, Psittaculidae.